Molecule: ribosomal RNA, 253 nt
Filed under: uncultured bacterium
Lineage: Bacteria
Description: partial 16S ribosomal RNA
Rfam family: Bacterial small subunit ribosomal RNA
Source: RNAcentral
UACGUAGGUGACCAGCGUUGUCCGGAUUUACUGGGCGUAAAGAGCGCGCAGGCGGUCGUUCAAGUCGAGUGUGAAAGCCCCCGGCUCAACUGGGGAGGGUCACUCGAUACUGAUCGACUUGAAGGCAGGAGAGGGAAGCGGAAUUCCCGGUGUAGUGGUGAAAUGCGUAGAUAUCGGGAGGAACACCAGUGGCGAAGGCGGGUCUCUGGACAGUUCCUGACGCUGAGGCACGAAGGUCAGGGGAGCAAACGGG